UACGGAGGGGGCUAGCGUUGUUCGGAAUUACUGGGCGUAAAGCGCACGUAGGCGGAUUUUUAAGUCAGGGGUGAAAUCCCGGAGCUCAACCUCGGAACUGCCUUUGAUACUGCCAAUCUCGAGUCCGGAAGAGGUGAGUGGAAUUCCUAGUGUAGAGGUGAAAUUCGUAGAUAUUAGGAAGAACACCAGUGGCGAAGGCGGCUCACUGGUCCGGUACUGACGCUGAGGUGCGAAAGCGUGGGGAGCAAACAGG
RNAcentral lists this ribosomal RNA (253 nucleotides) under uncultured bacterium. Its description in RNAcentral is "partial 16S ribosomal RNA". It matches the Rfam family "Bacterial small subunit ribosomal RNA", at positions 524 to 776 of the family's 1533-position model. The record is from RNAcentral.